This 253-nucleotide ribosomal RNA is filed under the name uncultured bacterium. RNAcentral's name for it is "partial 16S ribosomal RNA". It matches the Rfam family "Bacterial small subunit ribosomal RNA", at positions 524 to 776 of the family's 1533-position model. The record is from RNAcentral.
UACGGAGGGUGCAAGCGUUAAUCGGAAUUACUGGGCGUAAAGCGUGCGUAGGCGGCCUUUUAAGUCAGAUGUGAAAGCCCCGGGCUUAACCUGGGAACUGCAUUUGAUACUGGGAGGCUAGAGUUUAAUAGAGGGGAGUGGAAUUUCAGGUGUAGCGGUGAAAUGCGUAGAGAUCUGAAGGAACACCAGUGGCGAAGGCGACUCCCUGGAUUAAAACUGACGCUGAGGUACGAAAGCGUGGGUAGCAAACAGG